RNAcentral lists this ribosomal RNA (112 nucleotides) under uncultured bacterium. Its description in RNAcentral is "partial 16S ribosomal RNA". It matches the Rfam family "Bacterial small subunit ribosomal RNA", at positions 1355 to 1482 of the family's 1533-position model. The record is from RNAcentral.
UGUUGCGGUGAAUACGUUCCCGGGUCUUGUACACACCGCCCGUCAAACCAUGAAAGUGACCAACACCCGAAGUCCGAUUCGUCGGCCUAAGGUGGGGGGCAUGAUUGGGGUU